UUUUAGAUGUUGAAACAUUUUUCUAUUCAACAGAGAUGGGAAUACUUAUAAAUCUGUUUGGUAGAAAAAGAUUCACAACCAACUAGUAUUACCAACAAAAAAAACAUUUUCUAACAUCCCAAUUCGUCAAUUGCCAAAAUCCCAUACAAAAAUCAAUAAAGUGAAAGAAAAAUUGCACAAAAAUGUUACUCCUAGAUCUCUAAGGAGAAAUGUUAUUUACCUCAGCAGCUGCAUAGACGAAGAAGUUGAACAUAACGUGACGGUUGGGGCGGUGAGUACGGCGGGAAAGGAAGUCAUUUUUUACCACUACUUCCGUACGGGGCGACGGGCUACGUGUAGUGAAGUAUACCUUAUCCUCUCUUUUUUGUUGUUGUUUUUAAAUAAUUAAAUUUUAUUAAAAAAAAUAAAAAGAAGUUUUAAAACCUUUGGAAAGCUAUAUAUUCUUACAGGAAGUUUUAAGUUUUAACCCUUUGGAAAGCUAUAUAUUUACAUUAAAUAAAUAAAUAAGACUGCAACAUUAAUACUAUGCUUCAAUACAAUACCCUACCCUGAUUAGACUUAGAUUGAACGGUGAGUUUACAAUCAAGCGCUAUUUCUUAAAAUUUCCAAUAACUACUACAACCAGUGUGACUAAUUAACAUCAUGAUUCCCUGUACUUGGUUAGAUCAAAGGACAGUGUUCUCGAGCUUCUGCAAAAUGUUUCGAGUCGUAUUAGCAACAAUAUGAAUUUUAAAUCUGUAUAUAUAUCCAUAAUUCUUACCCUUUUUCUGAGUCUCUGUAGACACCAAUCAGUGCCUCCGCCUUGUCAUAAAAUGUAUCCUUUAGUGAUAUUACAAUGCUCUGAAAACCAUUAUUAACAUUUUCCAGGACCUCCUGGUUGCUGUUCUUAGCAAUUUGGCAUGAUUUUGUUCGGAUGAAUGCAGCAACCUUGGCAACAUUUAAAUUAUCUAAUGCAGCGUCAACUUCGUCCAAUAUGUAGAAUGGAGAAGGUCUGUAGCUGCACAUCAAAAAAAGAAUAACGAAAGGACAGUUCUUAUAUCAUCCUUCACAAACACAACCAGCAAAUAUAUUUGUUUUAUUUUAUCGGGAAAAAAGAUUGCAGGAAGGAAAGAAAACAAAAUAUAACACAAAUACAGAGUAGGAAAUGAAUACUACAAGAAUUAGACAAUUAAUGAUUUAAUCAAACUUUAAACUGUCUAAACAAUCAGGGGAUUACUGCAAGUCUGCUAG
RNAcentral lists this long non-coding RNA (1230 nucleotides) under Zostera marina. Its description in RNAcentral is "long non-coding RNA (ZMAR_LNC001884)". Lineage: Eukaryota; Viridiplantae; Streptophyta; Magnoliopsida; Alismatales; Zosteraceae. The record is from RNAcentral.